CCGCCUCAGCUGUGUCUUGCUGUAAAUAUGGACAAAGAGUUAACUUGAUGGAUUUUAGGUGAGCAUUAUGUUCCUUGGUACGUGCUCAUGAAGGACCAUCAGAUAUGA
This is a non-coding RNA of Triticum aestivum (bread wheat), 108 nucleotides long. The record is from Rfam. Lineage: Eukaryota; Viridiplantae; Streptophyta; Magnoliopsida; Poales; Poaceae.